RNAcentral lists this ribosomal RNA (532 nucleotides) under uncultured bacterium. RNAcentral describes it as "bacterial SSU rRNA". It matches the Rfam family "Bacterial small subunit ribosomal RNA", at positions 540 to 1070 of the family's 1533-position model. The record is from RNAcentral.
GUUGUCCGGAUUAUUGGGCGUAAAGAGCUUGUAGGCGGUUUGUCGCGUCUGCUGUGAAAGGCCGGGGCUUAACUCCGUGUAUUGCAGUGGGUACGGGCAGACUAGAGUGCAGUAGGGGAGACUGGAAUUCCUGGUGUAGCGGUGGAAUGCGCAGAUAUCAGGAGGAACACCGAUGGCGAAGGCAGGUCUCUGGGCUGUAACUGACGCUGAGAAGCGAAAGCAUGGGGAGCGAACAGGAUUAGAUACCCUGGUAGUCCAUGCCGUAAACGUUGGGCACUAGGUGUGAGGGACAUUCCACGUUUUCCGCGCCGUAGCUAACGCAUUAAGUGCCCCGCCUGGGGAGUACGGCCGCAAGGCUAAAACUCAAAGAAAUUGACGGGGGCCCGCACAAGCGGCGGAGCAUGCGGAUUAAUUCGAUGCAACGCGAAGAACCUUACCAAGGCUUGACAUAUACUGGACCGCAUCAGAGAUGGUGUUUCCCUUCGGGGCUGGUAUACAGGUGGUGCAUGGUUGUCGUCAGCUCGUGUCGUGA